Molecule: ribosomal RNA, 785 nt
Filed under: uncultured Staphylococcus sp.
Lineage: Bacteria; Bacillati; Bacillota; Bacilli; Caryophanales; Staphylococcaceae
Description: bacterial SSU rRNA
Rfam family: Bacterial small subunit ribosomal RNA
Source: RNAcentral
GGACGAGAAGCUUGCUUCUCUGAUGUUAGCGGCGGACGGGUGAGUAACACGUGGAUAACCUACCUAUAAGACUGGGAUAACUUCGGGAAACCGGAGCUAAUACCGGAUAAUAUUUUGAACCGCAUGGUUCAAAAGUGAAAGACGGUCUUGCUGUCACUUAUAGAUGGAUCCGCGCUGCAUUAGCUAGUUGGUAAGGUAACGGCUUACCAAGGCAACGAUGCAUAGCCGACCUGAGAGGGUGAUCGGCCACACUGGAACUGAGACACGGUCCAGACUCCUACGGGAGGCAGCAGUAGGGAAUCUUCCGCAAUGGGCGAAAGCCUGACGGAGCAACGCCGCGUGAGUGAUGAAGGUCUUCGGAUCGUAAAACUCUGUUAUUAGGGAAGAACAUAUGUGUAAGUAACUGUGCACAUCUUGACGGUACCUAAUCAGAAAGCCACGGCUAACUACGUGCCAGCAGCCGCGGUAAUACGUAGGUGGCAAGCGUUAUCCGGAAUUAUUGGGCGUAAAGCGCGCGUAGGCGGUUUUUUAAGUCUGAUGUGAAAGCCCACGGCUCAACCGUGGAGGGUCAUUGGAAACUGGAAAACUUGAGUGCAGAAGAGGAAAGUGGAAUUCCAUGUGUAGCGGUGAAAUGCGCAGAGAUAUGGAGGAACACCAGUGGCGAAGGCGACUUUCUGGUCUGUAACUGACGCUGAUGUGCGAAAGCGUGGGGAUCAAACAGGAUUAGAUACCCUGGUAGUCCACGCCGUAAACGAUGAGUGCUAAGUGUUAGGGGGUUUCCGCCC